AGAGUUUGAUCCUGGCUCAGGACGAACGCUUGCGGCGUGCCUAAGAAAUGCAAGUCGAACGGAAGUAGCAAUACUUUAGUGGCGAACGGUCGCGUAACACGUAAGAAACCUGCCUCAAAGUGGGGGACAACGAUCCGAAAGGGUCGCUAAUACCGCAUGUGAACAACUUUUGGCAUCUUUAGUUGUUUAAAGCUUUAUGCGCUUUGAGAUGGUCUUGCGGCCUAUCAGGUAGAUGGUGGGGUAACGGCCUACCAUGCCGACGACGGGUAGCUGGUCUGAGAGGACGAUCAGCCGGAUUGGGACUGAGAUACGGCCCAGACUCCUACGGGGGGCAGCAAUUAGGAAUCUUGCGCAGUGGACGAAAGUCUGACGCAGCGACGCCGCGUGAGGGAUGACGGCCUUCGGGUUGUAAACCUCUUUUGCCGAGGAAGAAGAAUGUGACGGUACUCGGUGAAUAAGCCCCGGCUAACUACGUGCCAGCAGCCGCGGUAAUACGUAGGGGGCGAGCGUUGUCCGAAGUUACUGGGCGUAAAGCGCGCGUAGGCGGCUUUUUAAGUCUGGGGUGAAAGGUUCAACGCUCAACGUGAACAGUGCCUUGGAUACUGGGAAGCUUGAAUGUGGCAG
RNAcentral lists this ribosomal RNA (624 nucleotides) under uncultured bacterium. Its description in RNAcentral is "bacterial SSU rRNA". It matches the Rfam family "Bacterial small subunit ribosomal RNA", at positions 8 to 654 of the family's 1533-position model. The record is from RNAcentral.